AUUCCAGCUCCAAUAGCGUAUAUUAAAGUUGUUGCAGUUAAAAUGCUCGUAGUUGGAUUUCUGGCGUCGCCGCCCGGUUGGCCUCGAAAGGGGUAUGUACUGGGGCGCGCGUUGCCAUCCUCGGGGGAAGGUCGUCUGGCAUUAGGUUGUCGGACGGUCGACGCUCGUCGUUUACUGUGAACAAAUUAGAGUGUUCAAAGCAGGCUUAGGCCGUUGAAUACAUUAGCAUGGAAUAAUGAGAUAGGACUUUGGUGGUCUAUUUUGUUGGUUUGCACGCCGAAGUAAUGAUUAAUAGGGGCGGUUGGGGGUAUUCGUAUUCAAUUGUCAGAGGUGAAAUUCUUGGAUUUAUGGAAGACGAACUACUGCGAAAGCAUUUACCAAGGAUGUUUUCAUCA
Molecule: ribosomal RNA, 395 nt
Filed under: Pseudochattonella sp.
Lineage: Eukaryota; Dictyochophyceae; Florenciellales
Description: partial small subunit ribosomal RNA
Rfam family: Eukaryotic small subunit ribosomal RNA
Source: RNAcentral